Molecule: ribosomal RNA, 377 nt
Filed under: uncultured Planctomycetota bacterium
Lineage: Bacteria; Pseudomonadati; Planctomycetota
Description: bacterial SSU rRNA
Rfam family: Bacterial small subunit ribosomal RNA
Source: RNAcentral
UAAUACAGAGGGUGCAAACGUUGUUCGGAAUUACUGGGCAUAAAGCGUACGUAGGCGGCGUUGUAAGUGUGAAGUGAAAUCCCACGGCUCACCCGUGGAACUGCUUUGCAUACUGCAAUGCUAGAGGACGGUAGGGGAGAGCGGAACUCCUGGUGGAGCGGUGAAAUGCGUAGAUAUCAGGAGGAACACCGAUGGCGAAGGCAGCUCUCUGGUCCGUUUCUGACGCUGAGGUACGAAAGCUAGGGUAGCGAACGGGAUUAGAUACCCCGGUAGUCCUAGCCGUAAACGAUGGGCACUAGCUAAAGGUCCUCCUGUGGGAUCUUUGGCGAAGCAAAUGUAAUAAGUGCCCCGCCUGGGGGAGUAUGGUCGCAAGGCUA